RNAcentral lists this ribosomal RNA (492 nucleotides) under uncultured bacterium. RNAcentral's name for it is "partial 16S ribosomal RNA". It matches the Rfam family "Bacterial small subunit ribosomal RNA", at positions 29 to 507 of the family's 1533-position model. The record is from RNAcentral.
AGUGAACGCUGGCGGUAGGCCUAACACAUGCAAGUCGAACGGCAGCACAGUAAGAGCUUGCUCUUACGGGUGGCGAGUGGCGGACGGGUGAGGAAUACAUCGGAAUCUACUUUUUCGUGGGGGAUAACGUAGGGAAACUUACGCUAAUACCGCAUACGACCUACGGGUGAAAGCAGGGGAUCUUCGGACCUUGCGCGAUUGAAUGAGCCGAUGUCGGAUUAGCUAGUUGGCGGGGUAAAGGCCCACCAAGGCGACGAUCCGUAGCUGGUCUGAGAGGAUGAUCAGCCACACUGGAACUGAGACACGGUCCAGACUCCUACGGGAGGCAGCAGUGGGGAAUAUUGGACAAUGGGCGCAAGCCUGAUCCAGCCAUACCGCGUGGGUGAAGAAGGCCUUCGGGUUGUAAAGCCCUUCUGUUGGGAAAGAAAAGCAGCAGGUUAAUACCCCGCUGUUCUGACGGUACCAAAAGAAUAAGCACCGGCUAACUUCGUG